AUUGAACGCUGGCGGCAUGCUUUACGCAUGCAAGUCGAACGGUCACAGGCGCCGAUGUGCUGACGAAUGGCCGACGGGUGCGUGAUGCAAAUGCGCGUACCCACUAGUUGGGCAUCACUACUCGAAAGCGUAGCUACUACCGCAUACCACCUCUGGAUGACAGCCGCGGACCUUAAGACCGCGAGCGCUUCGAGCGGCCGCUGUUAGAUUAGCUAGCUGGUGGGUUAAAGGCUCACCAAGCCAACGAUCCCUAGCUGGUCUGAGAGGAUGACCAGCCACACUGGAACUGAGACACGGUCCAGACUCCUACGGGAGGCAGCAGUAGGGAAUGUUCGGCAAUGGGCGCAAGCCUGAGCUAGCAACGCCGCGUGCAUGAAGAAGGUCUUCGGGUCGUAAAAUGCUGUUAUACGGAACGAAGCGACGAUUAAUAAGAUCCGCGGAUCAUGACGGUACCGUAUGAAUAAGCACCGGCUAACUACGUG
RNAcentral lists this ribosomal RNA (482 nucleotides) under uncultured bacterium. Its description in RNAcentral is "partial 16S ribosomal RNA". It matches the Rfam family "Bacterial small subunit ribosomal RNA", at positions 30 to 507 of the family's 1533-position model. The record is from RNAcentral.